RNAcentral lists this ribosomal RNA (3237 nucleotides) under Triticum aestivum (bread wheat). Its description in RNAcentral is "partial small subunit ribosomal RNA". The record is from RNAcentral. Lineage: Eukaryota; Viridiplantae; Streptophyta; Magnoliopsida; Poales; Poaceae.
AUGGCUGCGCCGGCGAGCGAGGACGAAAGCAAGGACGUGGACGCCUUCCUGUCGUCGUGCGCGGCGUCGGGCGAGGCCGCGUAUGCCGCCGCCGAGGCCGUGCUCGAGCGCCUCCAGGCCCGCGCCUCCCGCGCCGCGGCCCGACGCCUCCUCGGCGCCGUCCGCCGCCGCUUCGACGCCGGGCAGGAGCACUGCUUCCUCACCUUCCACUUCCGCGACGUCGUCGUCGACCCCCACCCCCAAGGGUUCCAGCAAAGCACGAAGCUAACAAUGAUGGAGAUACCUAGCAUUUUCACUCCUGUGGAUUGGUCCUUCGCUUUUUAUGAGGGCCUUAAUCAGCAUCAAGAUUCCACUUCCAGGGAUAAGACGUAUGCAGAGCUGGGGUGUGGCAAUGGUUGGAUAUCUAUUGCGCUUGCAGAGAAGUUGUCCCCUUUGAAGGUCUAUGGUCUGGAUAUUAACCCAAGGGCCAUCAAGAUUGCAUGGAUAAAUCUGUACUUGAAUGCCCUAGACGACAAUGGUCUCCCGGUCUAUGACAGGGAGGGAAAAACAUUGUUGGAUAGAGUUGAAUUCCAUGAAUCUGAUCUUCUUUCAUACUGUAUAGAUAACAAGAUAGAACUUGAUUGCAUUGUUGGCUGCAUACCACAGAUUCUUAACCCCAAUCCAGAGGCAAUAUCAAAGAUUAUGACUGAAAAUUCAAGUGAGAAGUUCUUGUACUCCUUGAGCAACUACUGUGCUCUUCAGGGUUUUUUUGAGGACCAGUUUGGCCUCGGGUUGAUUGCUCGGGCAGUUGAAGAAGGAAGAGCUGUCAUAAAGCCUAUGGGUAUAAUGAUAUUCAACAUAGGAGGCCGACCAGGUCAAGGUGUCUGUGAACGCCUAUUUCUACGCCGUGGAUUCCAUAUCAGUAAGCUCUGGCAAACAAAAAUUAUGCAGGCUGCCGACACUGAUAUUUCAGCUUUAGUUGAAAUUGAACAAAACAGCCCACAUCCAUUUGAAUUUUUUAUGGACCUUGUCGGGGAUCAGUCUGUCUCUGCACGCACAGCCCAGGCAUACAUGAAAUCUGGUGGCCGUGUUUCACAUGCUUUGUCUGUGUAUAGCUGUCAACUUCACAAACCCAUUCAGGUGAAGAAAUUAUUUGAGAUUCUUAAAGAUGGGUUCAAUGAAAUCAGCAGCUCCCUUGAUUUGUCCUUUGAUAAUGAUUCGGUUGCUGCUGAAAAAAUGGCCUUCCUAGUAUACCUUGCUAGUUUUUUGAAAGAGAAUAAGUCCAAUCCUUGUGAGCCUCCAUUUGGAUGUUUAAACUUCCGGAAUCUUGUUGCUGAAUUUAUGAAGAGCUACUACAACAUCCCAUCAACUUCUGAUAAUGUUGCUGUAUUCCCUUCUCGUGCUGUUGCCAUAGAAAUUUCUCUUCGACUGUUCUCACCGGCGCUUGCAAUUGUGGAUGAACAUCUGACCAGACACUUGCCGAAGCAAUGGUUAACAUCCUCAGCAAUUGAGGGAAGAGCAGAUUGUGACCGUGCUAAAGACACAGUCCUUGUAAUUGAAGUACCACGCCAAUCAGAUUUGCUGAUUGAGUUGAUCAGGAAAUUGAAGCCUCAGGUGGUUGUUACUGGCAUGGCUAAGUUUGAGGCUAUCACCAGUGCUGCUCUUGUGAAUAUACUAAGUGCAACAAGAGAUGUUGGUUCGUGGCUGUUCGUAGAUAUUUCAGAGCAUCUGGAGUUGUCUAGCCCGCCAAAGUCUAAUGGUGUGUUGAAGUAUCUUGCUGAGAACACCCUACCUUCGCAUGCAGUUAUACUCUGUGGUCUAGUAAAGGAUCAGGUUUAUUCUGAUCUGGAAGUUGGUUUUGCCAUAUCUGAGGAUGAAACUGUCUAUAAGGCGUUGUCACGAACUAUUGAGCUAUUGGAAGGACAUACUUCUGUGAUCAGCCAGCAGUAUUAUGGCUGUCUUUUUCGCGAGCUACUGGCGUUCCAAAUUGACAACCGGCAUGCACAGCGAGAGAGACAACCUGCAGAAGUGAUACCUCAGAAGAUGAUAGGAUUUUCUAAUUCAGCUAUGUCAGCCCUAAAAGAAGCUGAAUUUUUCGUUCCUGAUUCCAAGGAAUCUAGUAUCAUUCAUAUGGAUCUAGACCGCAGCUUCUUGCCAGUACCUUCUGUGGUGAACACUUCCAUUUUUGAAAGUUUUGUUAGGCAGAACAUCACGGAUUCUGAAACUGAUGUUCAUUUCAGCAUUAAAAAGCUGGUGAAACAUUACUAUGGUGGUUUCCCAGGAGACCGUUAUGCUGACAGGUUAGAUGGCUUCGGUACCUUCUUUUUCCCUUUGGGCACCAAUGGGCACUAUGUCUCAGCAGCAAAGUUUAUGAACGCAAACAUCUCGACCAUUCCAACAAAUUCAGAUUCAGGAUUCAAGAUUGAACCAAUGGCUCUAAACAAAGCUCUAAUUGAGGAAGAAAAUUGGGCCUGGGUCUAUAUUUCUGGCCCUACAAUUAACCCUUCUGGUUUCCUGUACAGUGACAAGGAGAUACGACAUCUGCUUUCUAUUUGUGCUAUGCAUGGAGCUAGGGUAGUGAUAGAUACCUCCUUCUCUGGUCUGGAGUUCCAAACCGACCGCUGGGCUUGGAGGAAUUUGGAAAGAUUUUCUUAUAAUGUUUGCUUAGAUCCCCCAUUCACAGCUUUUAUGCUCGGAGAGCUGUCCCUUGGGCUGACUGCGACUGGCCUUGAUUUCGGGUUUCUAAUUUUCAAUGACCUGUCCGUCGUUGAACAUAAUCUCGCAAACUUGAGUCAGCCAGAUAGCACAUUGAAGUACACUUUCAGAAAGCUAUUGGGUCUUAAGAACAAGAGGGAUCAACACUUCUCUAAUCUCAUCAUGGAGCAAAAGGAGACACUGAAAAAUCGUGCCAACCACUUGGCAAAGACACUUGUGAGCUGUGGCUGGGAUGUUCCUGGCUGUCAUGGUGGUAUCUCAAUGCUGGCGAAACCGACAGCCUACGUUGGCAAAUCAUUUUUUUUUGAAACGGAGGCAAAAGUAUUGCCUCAUUCAUUAAUUAAGAGAAGAGAGUUGCCCAGCACGCUCGAUGGUUGCAACAUCAGGGAAGCCAUUCUUAGAUCCACUGGACUGUGUAUAAGCAGUAGUAAAUGGACCGGGAUACCAGACUACUGCCGGUUCAGCUUUGCUUUAGAGAGCAGCGAAUUCGAGCGGGCAAUGGGCUGCAUAACCAGGUUUCUGGGAGUCGACAUGCUCACAUGA